CAUAUCACUAAGCGGAGAAAAAGAAAAUAACAAUGAUUCCUAAAGUAACGGCGAGUGAAAUAGGAAAAGCCCAUAGCCGAAUCCCGUUGUCCUCGACGGCAACUGGGAAUUGUGGCGUUUGGAACUGCCUAUAGUAACCGAUCAGUCGGGCUACGCGACUCCUCUUGAUUGUGGUUUGCCCAUAGCAGGUGAAAGGCCUAUUGGUCGUAGCCUCAGCUUGAAGACUGGCGGUGAUGGUAGUCCUUAGAGUCGGGUUGUUUGGGAUUGCAGCCCGAAGUAGGUGGUAAACUCCACCUAAGGCUAAAUACGAUCGCGAGUCCGAUAGCGAACAAGUACCGUGAGGGACAGUUGAAAAGAACUUUGAAGAGAGAGUUCAAAGUACGUGAAACCGUUCAGAGGUAAACGGGUAGAAAGUCGAAUUCGAGGCUGGCAAUCAGACCGUAGCCGUGUCGGCGUUGGGCAUGCAUCACGUUAAAGGUUGUGUGUCUACGUGUCGGGCUGGCAGCGGUUGUACUUGUCGGCUUCAGAUCGUCGCGGUGACAGUGCUCGACCGUUGGCGUCUGGUCCUCUAGUUGACGAAGACCCGUUUGGGCCUUUCAACGUUAGCAUAAGGCCGGGCGUCUCGCGUACAAGACACAGUCAUGUAAAGCAGUGUAAGCGUUUCAUCUGGUCGUUCGUUCGUUGCGUACCGGUAGGUCGAUGUGAAAUCACUUCGUCCGCUGGUGUCGUGGCGUCGGCGGUCGGUUUAAAGACGAAACAAAUUCUGCAUUCGGCGACGUUUGACUACGAAUUAUCUACCCGACCCGUCUUGAAACACGGACCAAGGAGUCUAACUUGUGCGCGAGUCAUUGGGAAAUGAGUAAACCCAAAGGCGAAGUGAAAGCAAACUUGGUGAGAUCCGUCGGUGGUUUGUUAUGCGAACAUUGGCGGCGCAUCAUCGUCACGCGUCAACUCGGCUUCGGCUGAAGACGCGCAGAUAGAGCGCACAGGUUGGGACCCGAAAGAUGGUGAACUAUGCGAGGCGAGGUCGAAGUCAGAGGAAACUCUGAUGGAGGACUGUAGCGGUUCUAACGUGCAAAUUGAUCGUCGCAGCUUCGUAUAGGGGCGAAAGACUAAUCGAACCAUCUAGUAGCUGGUUCCCUCCGAAGUUUCCCUCAGGAUAGCUGGCACUUUCGGAGAGCAGUUUUGUCCGGUAAAGCGAAUGAUUAGAGGCCUUGGGGACAUAACGACCUCAACCUAUUCUCAAACUUUGAAUGGGCAAGAGGAGCAACUCACUUGAUUGGAGUUGUCUCAUGGAGAAUGCUUGAGUGCCAAGUGGGCCAUUUUUGGUAAGCAGAACUGGCGCUGUGGGAUGCUCCAAACGUUUAGCUAAGGUGCCAAAUGCUAACGCUCAUCCGAUCCCAUUAAAGGUGUUGGUUGAUAGAGACAGCAGGACGGUGGCCAUGGAAGUCGGAAACCGCCAAGGAGUGUGUAACAACUCACCUGCCGAAUCAACCAGUCCUGAAAAUGGAUGGCGCUGAAGCGUUGUGAACCUAUGCUAAACCGGCAACGUCAUGUGAAUUUGUGGUUAAACGUUGCCGAGUAGGAGGGUCGCUGUGGUAUGCGUUGAAGCUUUGGGCGUGGGCCCGAGUCGAGCUGCCACAGGUGCAGAUCUUGGUGGUAGUAGCAAAUAUUCAAACGAGAACUUUGAAGGCCGAAGUGGAGAAGGGUUCCAUGUGAACAGCAUUUGAACAUGGGUCAGUCGGUCCUAAGCGAUAGGCUAAUGCCGUUCUGAAAGCAGGCUUAAAUUUUGAU
This 1794-nucleotide ribosomal RNA is filed under the name Heterolepidoderma loricatum. Its description in RNAcentral is "eukaryotic LSU rRNA". It matches the Rfam family "Eukaryotic large subunit ribosomal RNA", at positions 39 to 1590 of the family's 3401-position model. Lineage: Eukaryota; Metazoa; Gastrotricha; Chaetonotida; Chaetonotidae. The record is from RNAcentral.